Long non-coding RNA from Octopus sinensis (East Asian common octopus), 2442 nucleotides. RefSeq lists it as uncharacterized. The transcript has 2 exons. NCBI's taxonomy places the organism in Eukaryota, Metazoa, Mollusca, Cephalopoda, Octopoda, Octopodidae. The record is from RefSeq and is a predicted model, not a curated record.
AACUACGUUAAGGGUACACGUGUCUGUGGAAUGCUCAGCCAUUUGCACGUUAAUUUCACGAGCAAGCUGUUCCGUUGAUCGUAUCAGCUGGGACCCUCGUCGUUGUAACCGGCGGAGUCUUUAAUAUAUGUUCUUACAAUGAUAGAAAUAACCUAGCUUCAUUAAUCGAGAAAGUAUAUCUAAGUGUGUCUAUGCAGAUAGACAUUGAAUUUCAAUAUCAUCUUGUUAGUUUUAAACUUAGCCAAGUGUUUUUCAUAUUGCUACAUUUUAUCAUUGAUCUUUCUUCAUGAACAAACUCAUAAAACUAUUCCUGAUCAGUCCGAUACUUUCACGACAUUAUGAAAGGUAUUUUAUGCAAUAUCUUUUGUGCCAAGUAGAAUUGUCUUAAAUUUUAUUUCUGCUGGGGAAAAACAGGAUCAAAUGGCUUUUAGUCAUUAUUAAUUUUCAAUUUUAAACAACAUUAAGGUUUUAUUUUUAUUUAUUUAUUUUUUUUUUUUUUUGGACAAAUUUAACAAAAGUUUUGACCAUGCAAAAUUUUUUUUGAUAGCUCCAUUGCCUGAUAUCUGAGAGAAAAUUAGCCAUGAUUUGUAACAGGCUAAAUGCUUGUAAGAUGUUCAGAGAUAUGUGCUCUCUCUCUCUCUCUCACACACACACAGAUGAUUUGCCAUUUCAUAAAGUGGUUGCCUAUUCAAUAAAGGAUCCUCUACAUGGUCACUUGAUCUGCAAGAAAUAGCAGCCAAAUCAUACCACAUUGUCUUAGAUAAAAGAAAAGAGACAUUGGAUAAUGUAGUUCAAGACAAAAGGUGUUAUGGCCAUGGCUGGAACACCUUUGACUGCAGGUCUGCUUGAUUAGAGCUAACUUGUGACUAAAUAACAGUUUAAAAAACAACAAAACACCACUAUUUUACUCUGACUUAAUUCUUCAUGUCUGAUGAUUGCUGUGGUUGUCAAGUAAUUUUUAGAAGGCAGAUUUUAAAAAAAUACAAAAAAUUACAUAAACAGAAGACUUUAAUUCAGUUUACCCAGACUGUUGAAAUAUUUUUUUCAUUGGGUUCUAGACUGAAUUCCAUCCCACCCCUACUCCCCAUUUUUUAAAAAUAAUUUUGUUCUGUUUUGUUACAUUUCUGAAUCAAAAUCUGUCUUUAACCUGUUCUAAAAAUAUGGAAGGCUAAGGGACUUGGUGUCUGUUUGUUAUGGUAUCCAUAAAAAAAAGAAAAGAAAAAAAAAAGAAUAUGUAACAAAUAGAAAUAAAAUUCAAAUAAUGUGUGGCCUAAUUCAUUAAGGCAUGAACUUUUUUCUGUUUGUUGUGAUGUGUAGUAGAUUAGCUGAUUUCCUAUUUCCCCCCACUCCCCCCUAUAAAAGAAAGAAAUUGGGCCUCAGUGAAGAUCAGACCAGUGUAUAACAUUACUCCUCAUUCUCCCCCAUUCAAGCAGCUUUAUGUUUCCUGGUUGAAAUUAACUGAAAUUUAACCCUUUCACACUGGUGUGAAAGGAUAGUAUGUUAUGUACUGUGUGCAUUUUUUUUUAAUACUCUCUGAUGAUUUUCAUAAUUAUAAUCUUGAUAGUAAAUCUCCUUGAAUGUGCUAAGGAUAUUAGUGUAGUCUUCUAGUUCGGUUAAGGCAAUGAUUUCUGAACAUCCUUUCUCAACUCAUGUUGUUGAGUUUAAUACUGCCGUUUGUUUGAUGGGAUUGUGGAGUGACUGACUGUCUAGGUUACUCUAGGGUUGUCUAACAGAAUUAUCAGUUCAGCUGUGGCUGAUGUAAUAACAACAACCCACUCCAUACAACUCAAUCUGGUUAAUUCUUUUAUAAAAGUCAGUGGUCUUUUGAUUGGUUGAGUUCAGACCAAUUUACCUCAUGUUUUGUUGAUCCUAUAAUAAUGUUCCUUUAGGGACGAAUUCACCACCAUAACUAAAAAAGAAUCAAACAAAACAAAACAACCCCAUGCAUCAUGAUGCAAUCUGUGUAAAUAUUCCAACUAAGUCUGCUCUGCUUAACCCACCAUGACAAGAUAAUCCAGUAUAAUUCUUUUUUAAAGUUUAAAAAGAUUUAAGGAUUUUCACAGAUGAUUUGCUGUAACUAUAGAUUUAGUUAUUGGUUUGACAACUGAGACCCAGUUUGUAAUGUAGAUGGCUAAUGGGGCCUGCACACAUGGCAUGGCUAGUUGUGCCGCCUUUGCUGCAUAGUUGACCUUGCUGAGCUCCAGCCGUCAUCUAGAUGUAUUGGCUUCCAUCGAAGCCUCAGAUAUUUCUUAGUUUUAUUUUUUGUUUUUUUUUUGUAUAUUUUUCUUUAUAAUAUUCUUGACAAUUUUUUCAUAGGAAGGAAGAAAAAAGAAAAGAAAAGCAAAAGCUUUCACUUGAAGUUUUAGUAGAUUAAUAAUCACUGUUAAAAAUGUCAAAUCACCUUUCCUUUUUCAGGCCAAUAAAUGCCCCCCUUCUCAUAUA